This is a long non-coding RNA of Etheostoma spectabile (orangethroat darter), 156 nucleotides long. RefSeq lists it as uncharacterized. The record is from RefSeq and is a predicted model, not a curated record. The transcript has 3 exons. NCBI's taxonomy places the organism in Eukaryota, Metazoa, Chordata, Actinopteri, Perciformes, Percidae.
AGUACUGUAACUAUGGAACUAGAGCUAGCCUUCAGUAACGCUAUUACUGUGCAAGCCACAGACAUCAUUUGGAUCGUUUUCAUGUAAAUACAUAGUCACUGAUAUGGUCAUAACCACUACAGUGGUCAAUUACCUAUUUUUGAGGGAGAAAUAAAC